UACGUAGGUGGCAAGCGUUGUCCGGAUUUACUGGGCGUAAAGGGCGUGCAGGCGGUUUGUUAAGUUCAGGGUGAAAGCUCCCGGCUCAACUGGGAGAGGUCCUUGGAUACUGGCAGACUUGAGGAGGGUAGAGGAGAGUGGAAUUCCCGGUGUAGUGGUGAUAUGCGUAGAUAUCGGGAGGAACACCAGUGGCGAAAGCGGCUCACUGGAUCUCUUCUGACGCUGAGGCACGAAAGCUAGGGUAGCGAACGGG
This 253-nucleotide ribosomal RNA is filed under the name uncultured bacterium. Its description in RNAcentral is "partial 16S ribosomal RNA". It matches the Rfam family "Bacterial small subunit ribosomal RNA", at positions 524 to 776 of the family's 1533-position model. The record is from RNAcentral.